Molecule: ribosomal RNA, 468 nt
Filed under: uncultured bacterium
Lineage: Bacteria
Description: partial 16S ribosomal RNA
Rfam family: Bacterial small subunit ribosomal RNA
Source: RNAcentral
GACGAACGCUGGCGGCGUGCUUAACACAUGCAAGUCGAACGGAAAGGCCCUGCUUUUGUGGGGUGCUCGAGUGGCGAACGGGUGAGUAACACGUGAGUAACCUGCCCUUGACUUUGGGAUAACUUCAGGAAACUGGGGCUAAUACCGGAUAGGUGCUCCUGCUGCAUGGUGGGGGUUGGAAAGUUUCGGCGGUUGGGGAUGUACUCGCGGCUUAUCAGCUUGUUGGUGGGGUAGUGGCUUACCAAGGCUUUGACGGGUAGCCGGCCUGAGAGGGUGACCGGCCACAUUGGGACUGAGAUACGGCCCAGACUGCUACGGGAGGCAGCAGUGGGGAAUAUUGCACAAUGGGCGGAAGCCUGAUGCAGCAACGCCGCGUGCGGGAUGACGGCCUUCGGGUUGUGAACCGCUUUCGCCUGUGACGAAGCGUGAGUGACGGUAAUGGGUAAAGAAGCACCGGCUAACUACGUG